CAAAAGAAGUAGGUAGUUUAACCUUCGGGAGGACGCUUACCACUUUGUGGUUCAUGACUGGGGUGAAGUCGUAACAAGGUAGCGCUAGGGGAACCUGGCGCUGGAUCACCUCCUUAUACGAUGAU
This 125-nucleotide ribosomal RNA is filed under the name Vibrio parahaemolyticus. Its description in RNAcentral is "partial 16S ribosomal RNA". It matches the Rfam family "Bacterial small subunit ribosomal RNA", at positions 1418 to 1533 of the family's 1533-position model. Lineage: Bacteria; Pseudomonadati; Pseudomonadota; Gammaproteobacteria; Vibrionales; Vibrionaceae. RNAcentral also lists the same sequence under 1 other name. The record is from RNAcentral.